Molecule: ribosomal RNA, 570 nt
Filed under: uncultured fungus
Lineage: Eukaryota; Fungi
Description: eukaryotic LSU rRNA
Rfam family: Eukaryotic large subunit ribosomal RNA
Source: RNAcentral
AAACCAACAGGGAUUGCCUCAGUAACGGCGAGUGAAGCGGCAACAGCUCAAAUUUGAAAUCUGGCCUUACGGUCCGAGUUGUAAUUUGUAGAGGAUGUUUCGGGCACCGCGGCGGGUUAAAUUUCUUGGAACAGAAUGUCAAAGAGGGUGAGAGUCCCGUCUUGGCCCGCGGUAGGACCUAUGUGAAACUCCUUCGACGAGUCGACUUGUUUGGGAAUGCAGGUCAAAAUGGGUGGUAAAUUUCAUCUAAAGCUAAAUAUUGGCCAGAGACCGAUAGCGCACAAGUAGAGUGAUCGAAAGAUGAAAAGCACUUUGAAAAGAGAGUUAAACAGUAUGUGAAAUUGUUGAAAGGGAAGCGCUGGCAACCAGACUCGAGCGCGGUGUUCGCCCUGGCUUCUGCCUGGGUUACUUCACCGUGACCGGGCCAUCAUCAGUUUUGGGGGUUGGUUAAAGGUUCAGGGAAUGUACCUACUCCUUCGGGGGUAGACUUAUAGCCCCGGACGUCAUGCAACCUCCCGGGACUGAGGAACGCGCUUCGGCGAGGAUGAUGGCGUAAUGGUUGUCAGCGAC